This 135-nucleotide microRNA precursor is filed under the name Picea abies (Norway spruce). Its description in RNAcentral is "miR3705 stem-loop (pab-MIR3705)". The record is from miRBase by way of RNAcentral. Lineage: Eukaryota; Viridiplantae; Streptophyta; Pinopsida; Pinales; Pinaceae.
UUUUGCAGACGUAAGUGGUUAUGAUCUGGACGGCGGCAAGUUUAACGGGUGAGACCUCCAACUCCCUCUCUAUGGAUAGAAUAUAUUAUAUAUGAUGCUUUGCCUAUGAUUUCGAUUAUUUAUUUGUUUGUUUGA